Non-coding RNA from Candidatus Woesebacteria bacterium RBG_13_46_13, 2916 nucleotides. Lineage: Bacteria; Candidatus Woeseibacteriota. The record is from Rfam.
UCGUAAGUUUUUACAGAACGCAGACAGUGGAUACCUUGGUCUUAUCUACCGAAGAAGGACGUACAUGGUCGCGAUAGUCGUCGGGGAGCUGCCACGAAGCUUUGAUCCGGCGGUGUCCGAAUGGGGAAACCUCUGCUUUAUGCAGGCUUUUUCGCCAAGCGUUCCGAUUUAUCGGGACUACUAACGGAAAAGACGGGAACCACCCGAACUGAAACAUCUAAGUAGGGUGAGGAAGAGAAAACAAUGUGAUUGCGCAAGUAGCGGUGAGCGAAAACGCAGAAGCCUAAACCUUAGCUUGCUCCGCAAGGAGUUUGCUGGGGGGUUGCGGGACUUUAAUGUGAGACCUUGUUUGAUAGCGGAACGGCAUGGAAUUGCCGACCAUAGAGAGUGAAAGUCUUGUACGCGAAAUCAAACGAGGCUCUAGAAGUAUCCCAAGUACCACGGAGCACAUACUUUGUGGGAAUCUGGGGGAACCAUCCUCCAAGGCUAAAUAUAGAUAAGGACCGAUAGUGAACUAGUACCGCGAGGGAAAGGUUAAAAGAAGGGUGAGACACCCAGUGAAAUAGAACUUGAAACUGUUUGCGGACAAACCGAGAGAGCUCCUGUAAGGGAGUGAUCUCGUGCCUAUUGAAGAAUGAACCGGCGAGUUGCCGUCCUUUUCUAGUCUUACCGCGCAAGCGGGCAGGCGUAGGGAAACCGAGUCUUAAAAGGGCGUUUAGAAAAGUGCGGCAGACCCGAAACCAGGUGAUCUAACUAUGAGCAGGGUGAACCUCGAUGAAAAUCGAGGGGAGGCCCGAACCCGUCUGGGUUGCAAUCCGGUGGGAUGACUUGUGGUUAGCGGCAAAAUACCAAUCGAACCUGGAGAUAGCUGGUUCUCCCCGAAAGGUCUAUAGGGACCGUGCCACGCAAGGUGUUACUGAUGGUAGAGCACCGAAUGGGACAGAGAGGGCAACCAAUUUGUUUCAAUCGAACUCCGAAUAGCAGUGUACAUUAACGUGGUAGACAGUCACAUCGGGCUAAGCUGAUGUGGCGAGAGGGAAAAAUCCCAGACUUUCGUCUAAGGCCUCUAAGUUUAUCUUAAGUUUCAAAGGAAGUUCCUUUUCUCAAACAGCCAGGAGGUUGGCUCAGAAGCAGCCACCCUUUAAAGAAAGCGUAACAGCUCACUGGUCGACGGAAGGGGGCGCCAAAGAUUUAUCGAGGAUUAAAGAUAACGCCGAAGACAAAGAUGCGGAGCAAUCCGCGUGGUAGGGGAGCGUUCCGACAGCGGUGAAGUUGAACCGUAAGGUUUGAUGGAGCGGUCGGAAGUGAGAAUGCCGGUAUGAGUAGCGUACAACCUCAGUGAGAAUCUGAGGCACCGAAUACCCGAGGUUUCCGCCCAGACGUUCGUCGAGGGCGGGUUAGUCGGUACCUAAGGCGAGGCCACAUGGCGUAGUCGAUGGAUAACUAGUUAAAAUUCUAGUAUUUGGUUUGAAUCGUUAUUAGUUGGGGAAUGACUUGGAUGGAUAAUUGGAGCCAGUUCGUGAAGUCUGGUGCAAGCUGUUAAGUAGUGUCAGGUGGAAAAUCCCUUGAUGCGAUUAAUUAAGCAGUGAUGCAAAGUCCUGCGAGAGUGGGGCGAUUCCAACAAUUUCAACCAACAGGAAAAGUUUCGCAACGAGAUUCAGAUCAAGCCGUACCGUAAACCGACACAGGUGGGUUGGACUAGUAGUCUAAGGUGAGCGAGAGAAGGAUGUUCAAGGAAUUCGGCAAAAAAUCUACCCGUAACUUUGGGAGAUGGGUUACCCGUCGCAAGACGGGUCACAGCAAAAGUUUAUUUGUCGACUGUUUAUCAAAAACACAGGUCCCUGCGAAGUCGAAAGACACGGUAUAGGGGCUGACGCCUGCCCAGUGCUGGUAAGUUAAGGGGAGGGGUGAUUAUCGCAAGAUUUUUGCUCUGAACUAAAGCUCCAGUAAACGGCAGCAGUAACUAUAACUGUUCUACGGUAGCGAAGUUCCUUGUCGGGUAAGUUCCGACCCGCACGAAUGGCGUCACGAGCAAAUAACUGUCUUGAACAUUCACUCGGCGAAAUUGCGAUGGCUGUGAAGACGCGGCCUUGUUCCACCAGGACAAAAAGACCCCGUGGAGCUUUACUGUAGUUUGGCAUUGAUUUACUUAUUCUGAUUGUCAAGUGUAGGAGGGAGCGCAAGCGUCAAUGUGACACCUCUCUUUGGAAUGUAGCAAAUCUUACCCAGAAGCCUUGAAUACAGGUUUGGGAAAAGUGUCAGAUGGGCAGUUUUACUGGGGCGGUACCCUGCAAAAGUGUAACGCAGGGGUACAAAGGUUGGCUUACUACGGAUGGAAAUCGUAGGCAAAGCAUAAAGGUUAAAGCCAGCUUGACUGCAAGCGAGAAGUCGCGAGCAGGUGCGAAAGCAGGUCUUAAUGAUCCUCCGAUGCGUAAUGGGUAUGCACGGAGCUUAACUGAUAAAAGCUACCCCGGGGAUAACAGAGUAGUCGCGCCCGAGCGUCCAUAGCGACGGCGCGGUUCGCUACCUCGAUGUCGGCUCAUCACAUCCUGGCGCUGGAGAAGGUGCCAAGGGUCGGUCUGUUCGCCCGUUAAAGUGGUACGUGAGCUGGGUUCAGAACGUCGUGAGACAGUUCGGACUCUAUCCGGUGGAACCGUUUGAGUUUUGAAGGGAGUUGGCCUCAGUACGAGAGGACCAGGCUGAAGGAAUCCCUGGUGUGCCGGUUGUCGCGUCAGCGGCAACGCCGGGUAGCUAUAUUCCUAAGGGAUAACCGCUGAAAGCAUCUAAGUGGGAAGCCCACCCUAAGAUUAGAACUCGUCAUAGACCCCCAGGAGAAUACUGGGUUAAUCGGCUGGCGGUGGAAGCGGCGUAAGCUGUUAAGCCUACCAGUGCGAAUAGGUCGAGAGACUUACGAAC